AACCUGUCAUAGUUGCCAUCAUUAGUUGGGCACUCUAAUGAGACUGCCGGUGACAAACCGGAGGAAGGUGGGGAUGACGUCAAGUCCUCAUGGCCCUUAUGGGUAGGGCUUCACACGUCAUACAAUGGUCGGUACAGAGGGUUGCCAAGCCGCGAGGUGGAGCCAAUCCCUUAAAGCCGAUCGUAGUCCGGAUCGUAGUCUGCAACUCGACUACGUGAAGUCGGAAUCGCUAGUAAUCGCAGAUCAGCAUGCUGCGGUGAAUACGUUCCCGGGUCUU
Molecule: ribosomal RNA, 277 nt
Filed under: uncultured Thauera sp.
Lineage: Bacteria; Pseudomonadati; Pseudomonadota; Betaproteobacteria; Rhodocyclales; Zoogloeaceae
Description: partial 16S ribosomal RNA
Rfam family: Bacterial small subunit ribosomal RNA
Source: RNAcentral